CCGACCAUCUCAUAUCUAAAUUUUGUUUCAUAAUGCCUCACAAAUAUGCAAACAACAAUAUUUUUAGCCUAUAUUUAGGCUAACAUGAAACUAAUCACACAAUUAAUCACGUUUUUUUAAUUUCACGUUGAAUAUUUCCUGGAUUGAUUAGGGAAAAAAAUGUUUAAUGAAAAUUGACUUACCAAUUCAAAUUAUCUGAUCAUCUCGUUCGAUUCCUUAAUUAUCUUUAUGAUAAGGUAACAUCGCCUGAAACACAGAUUUGAAAAAAAGAAGGUUAUUAUUUCAUCCACAAAUGAGCUACGUGCCUAUAUUGCGUACUUGUGAGAAAAAAAUUGUAAAACAAAUUCAAUCGCAAAAUAAUUUUUGAUCCAGUACCACAAAAAUUAAGCAUGGAAGCAGAUGAAUAGACAAUCACCAUCGGAACCGGUAUCGAGACCCCAGCGCACCCAGAAACCAACAAAACGCACCCACGAUAUGGUUUUUCAAACGGUUCGAGAUGAGUUAUAUGAUUCUUAGGAUACCUAGCGAUUAUGCAUGGAAUGGAAUAAAUGUCAAGUGUCCGAAAUCAAGCUCGCUGCUAUGAUCACCGAUCGAGUAGGGUAAGACGAAUUCCACAAUGAGACGAUUUUUUUCUGAAGAAGAAAACAAAACUAAUACCUACAUCAUUCGGCUUAAACGGUUCUCGAAGAAGCCGAGGAGACAAUCAAAACUGAAAUCUAGCGGAUUUUGGAUAUGUUGAAGGGGGCACCAUUACAAAUUCAAAAAGCCUGCUUGAUACAAUUUGGCAUGUACCUACAAGCUAUACAACUAACACCCCUGCGGUAUUUUGGAAUUUCGUAAAUGUUGGCGCUUCUAGUGGCUUUAAAAAGCUGAAAUGUCUAAGAUGGAUUAUUUUUAACGACUUGUCUGGGUGCAUUAUAUAACGGUUGAAUAAAUGAUACCAGCCUUGAAGGUUGCGGAGAGCGAUGCCAAAUGCAAAUCUACGUAUUUCUCGACAGAGCCACGAAUUUCUCUGGCGAGACGAGAUUUACUAAAAGACACGAAACACCAUAUAUCCUAUAAGAAAAUUUCAUAGAAUUGUUUUAUCGGCAAUGAAAAAACUGAAAA
Long non-coding RNA from Planococcus citri (citrus mealybug), 1107 nucleotides. RefSeq lists it as uncharacterized. NCBI's taxonomy places the organism in Eukaryota, Metazoa, Arthropoda, Insecta, Hemiptera, Pseudococcidae. The record is from RefSeq and is a predicted model, not a curated record. The transcript is spliced from 2 exons.